CAGUUCUGAGGGGAUUUCAGGUUUAAGGACCUUAGGUAGAGCCCUAUUACCCCUCACUUGUUCUCUCUCUCUCCUCCUCAGUCCCCAGGUUCCGCCAAGGACACAGAGAAACUGUGACAUGGAAACGUGACCUGAUUGAAAGCCUACGGUGUGCCAGGCUCUGUGCUAGAUUUAAUCAUCAGAAACAAAUGAACUGGAGUGUUUGCAAGAGAAGAAAACACAUCGGUGCCUUUUGCAAAUGGCACUGGGGCAGAGAGGGUCUGUGGGCUGUCCCCGCCCCCCCAAACUGAUCCCCACCAAGCAAAGAUGCCCACAGUGGUCCUAGUUGUCUGUUCCCCCACCAAAAAAAGAGGAGACCUCAAUUACAGAAGACAUUUGGCAUUCUGGACCCAGGACAUACUCCAAGAACAAACCACUGUAAACAAGCACAGGAAGUCCAAGCCCAUUUUCUGAAAGAGGGAAUAAAGAAGAGGUAUGGGAAUGGAGUUUAACACACUCACAGUGACCCAGGCAACGUGUCUGUCUCCUUCAAGCGUCUCCCAAAGAGAGGUCAUUGUUCUGCCUGA
Molecule: non-coding RNA, 566 nt
Organism: Leptonychotes weddellii (Weddell seal)
Lineage: Eukaryota; Metazoa; Chordata; Mammalia; Carnivora; Phocidae
Source: RefSeq, a predicted model, not a curated record